Molecule: ribosomal RNA, 497 nt
Filed under: uncultured bacterium
Lineage: Bacteria
Description: partial 16S ribosomal RNA
Rfam family: Bacterial small subunit ribosomal RNA
Source: RNAcentral
GAUGAACGCUGGCGGCGUGCCUAAUACAUACAAGUCGAGCGAACAGACGAGGAGCUUGCUCCUCUGACGUUAGCGGCGGACGGGUGAGUAACACGUGGAUAACCUACCUAUAAGACUGGGAUAACUUCGGGAAACCGGAGCUAAUACCGGAUAAUAUAUUGAACCGCAUGGUUCAAUAGUGAAAGACGGUUUUGCUGUCACUUAUAGAUGGAUCCGCGCCGCAUUAGCUAGUUGGUAAGGUAACGGCUUACCAAGGCGACGAUGCGUAGCCGACCUGAGAGGGUGAUCGGCCACACUGGAACUGAGACACGGUCCAGACUCCUACGGGAGGCAGCAGUAGGGAAUCUUCAGCAAUGGGCGAAAGCCUGACGGAGCAACGCCGCGUGAGUGAUGAAGGUCUUCGGAUCGUAAAACUCUGUUAUUAGGGAAGAACAAAUGUGUAAGUAACUAUGCACGUCUUGACGGUACCUAAUCAGAAAGCCACGGCUAACUACGUG